This 255-nucleotide ribosomal RNA is filed under the name uncultured bacterium. Its description in RNAcentral is "partial 16S ribosomal RNA". It matches the Rfam family "Bacterial small subunit ribosomal RNA", at positions 1 to 258 of the family's 1533-position model. The record is from RNAcentral.
UAGUCUAUUAUGAUCCUGGCUCAGGGAUGNCNCGCUGGNUUAGCGUGCUAACACAUGCAAAAGGUCGAACGUGAGGGCAUAUGUAUGUCUGAAUGACGGGUGAGUAAUACGUAGGUACUNGGCCUCGGAGUUGGGGGGAUAACCACUGGAAAAACGGUGGCUAAUACCGCAUGGGUCUAUUUGAGUGGGAGCUCAGAUGGAUAAAGCUUAAGUGCUUCGAGAGGGGCCUGCGUCCGAUUAGCUAGUUGGUGGGGU